Molecule: non-coding RNA, 67 nt
Filed under: Lotharella globosa
Lineage: Eukaryota; Cercozoa; Chlorarachniophyceae
Source: RNAcentral
CCGUGGACGCGGGCGUGGGCGUCGUGGGCGCGGACGUGGACGUGGUGGCCGUGGAAAGGGUGGCCGU